GACGAACGCUGGCGGCGUGCCUAAUACAUGCAAGUCGAGCGGACUGAUUAAGAGCUUGCUCUUAUGACGUUAGCGGCGGACGGGUGAGUAACACGUGGGCAACCUGCCCUGUAGAUCGGGAUAACACCGAGAAAUCGGUGCUAAUACCGGGUAAUAUCUGAGAUCACAUGAUCUUAGGUUAAAAGAUGGCUCCGGCUAUCACUACAGGAUGGGCCCGCGGCGCAUUAGCUAGUUGGUAAGGUAAUGGCUUACCAAGGCGACGAUGCGUAGCCGACCUGAGAGGGUGAUCGGCCACACUGGGACUGAGACACGGCCCAGACUCCUACGGGAGGCAGCAGUAGGGAAUCUUCCGCAAUGGACGAAAGUCUGACGGAGCAACGCCGCGUGAGUGAUGAAGGGUUUCGGCUCGUAAAGCUCUGUUGUUAGGGAAGAAACAGUACCGAACGAACUAGGUCGGCACCUUGACGGUACCUAACCAGAAAGCCACGGCUAACUACGUG
This 500-nucleotide ribosomal RNA is filed under the name uncultured bacterium. Its description in RNAcentral is "partial 16S ribosomal RNA". It matches the Rfam family "Bacterial small subunit ribosomal RNA", at positions 28 to 507 of the family's 1533-position model. The record is from RNAcentral.